Molecule: ribosomal RNA, 557 nt
Filed under: Wickerhamomyces sp. Z8Y30
Lineage: Eukaryota; Fungi; Ascomycota; Saccharomycetes; Phaffomycetales; Wickerhamomycetaceae
Description: eukaryotic LSU rRNA
Rfam family: Eukaryotic large subunit ribosomal RNA
Source: RNAcentral
UACGGCGAGUGAGCGGCAAAAGCUCAAAUUUGAAAUCUAGCACCUUCGGUGUUCGAGUUGUAAUUUGAAGAUGGUAACCUUGGGUUUGGCUCUUGUCUAUGUUCCUUGGAACAGGACGUCAUAGAGGGUGAGAAUCCCGUCUGAUGAGAUGCCCAUUCCUAUGUAAGGUGCUAUCGAAGAGUCGAGUUGUUUGGGAAUGCAGCUCUAAGUGGGUGGUAAAUUCCAUCUAAAGCUAAAUAUUGGCGAGAGACCGAUAGCGAACAAGUACAGUGAUGGAAAGAUGAAAAGAACUUUGAAAAGAGAGUGAAAAAGUACGUGAAAUUGUUGAAAGGGAAGGGCAUUAGAUCAGACUUGGUGUUUUACGAUUAUCUUCUCUUCUUGAGUUGUGCACUCGUAUUUCACUGGGCCAGCAUCGAUUCGGAUGGCAAGAUAAUGGCAGUUGAAUGUGGCUUCACUUCGGUGGAGUGUUAUAGCUUCUGCUGAUAUUGCCUGUCUGGAUCGAGGGCUGCGUCUUUUGACUAGGAUGCUGGCGUAAUGAUCUAAUGCCGCCCGUCUUA